RNAcentral lists this ribosomal RNA (300 nucleotides) under uncultured Hyphomonadaceae bacterium. RNAcentral's name for it is "bacterial SSU rRNA". It matches the Rfam family "Bacterial small subunit ribosomal RNA", at positions 114 to 424 of the family's 1533-position model. The record is from RNAcentral. Lineage: Bacteria; Pseudomonadati; Pseudomonadota; Alphaproteobacteria; Hyphomonadales; Hyphomonadaceae.
CGCGUGGAAACGUGCCUUUCACUACGGAAUAGCUUUUUGGAAACGAAAGGUAAUACCGUAUACGCCCUCCGGGGGAAAGAUUUAUCGGUGAAAGAUCGGUCCGCGUUAGAUUAGCUAGUUGGUGAGGUAACGGCUCACCAAGGCUACGAAUCUAUAGCUGGUCUGAGAGGAUGAUCAGCCACACUGGAACUGAGACACGGUCCAGACUCCUUACGGGAGGCGAGCAGUGGGGAACUAUUGCACAAUGGGCGCAAACCCCGGAUGCAGCCAUGCCGCGUGAAUGAUGAAGGCCUUAGGGUU